CGCGCCGCGGACGCCCGCACCGCAGUGUCGAGCAGGAGCCCGCCAUGCCCGGCCCGCGCCUCUCCCGCGCAGCCUGACAGCAUGGCCUACCCGACCGCCACCAUCACACGCAGCCACGCUCUGACGACGGUUGGCGGCAGCGCAGGAGGCGGCGGGCGCGCAGGCUCGCGCGGCGCCAGCUGAUACCAUGGGCGGCGCGCACCAGCCCGCAACUCCGGGGCCCAGCUCGCUGUUUAUAUUUUCCGACGAAAAUCUUAUUCGGAGAACAACAAAAUUUAUUAUCGAGUGGCCGCCUUUCGAGUACGCGGUGCUACUUACCAUCAUCGCCAACUGCGUGGUGCUGGCGCUGGAGGAGCAUCUGCCCAACGGCGAUAAGACCAUCUUAGCACAGAACCUGGAAAAGACCGAGACGAUCUUUUUAGGCAUAUUUUGUGUAGAAGCAUCGUUGAAAAUUUUAGCCUUAGGUUUUGUUUUACAUAAGGGAUCUUAUCUUAGGAACAUUUGGAACAUCAUGGAUUUUUUUGUUGUGCUAACGGGUAUCAUCACGCAGACGCCGAUGGUGCCCGAAGUCGACUUCAGGACCUUGCGUGCCAUUAGGGUGCUGAGGCCCCUUAAAUUAGUAUCGGGCAUUCCUAGUCUGCAAGUGGUCCUGAAAUCCAUAAUAAAGGCGAUGGCCCCGUUGCUGCAGAUAGGCCUGUUGGUGCUUUUCGCGAUUGUUAUCUUUGCCAUCAUCGGCCUCGAGUUCUACUCGGGCGCGCUGCAUAAGACUUGUUAUAGUUUAGAAGAUAUUAGUCAAAUAGCAAAUGAAGGUGACAGUGCAACACCGUGUAAUGCUGAUAACCAAACACUAGCUCCGUACGGGGCGAACGUUUGCAGAGAUGACAUCAGCACGUGUUUAGAGAAAUGGGAAGGGCCAAACAGGGGCAUCACGUCUUUCGAUAAUAUCGGCUUCGCAAUGCUCACUGUCUUCCAGUGCAUCACCAUGGAGGGCUGGACCGCCAUUCUCUAUUGGACAAACGACGCGCUGGGUUGUGCGUUCAACUGGAUUUACUUUGUGCCUCUAAUAGUAUUGGGUUCAUUCUUUAUGCUCAAUUUAGUUCUUGGUGUCCUUAGCGGUGAAUUUGCUAAAGAAAGAGAAAAAGUCGAAAAUAGACAAGAAUUUCUUAAGCUACGAAGGCAGCAACAACUUGAGAAAGAGCUCAACGGUUAUGUUGAGUGGAUAUGUAAAGCUGAGGAAGUUAUAUUAGCGGAAGAAAGAACAACAGAAGAAGAAAGAAUGCAUAUAAUAGAAGCACGGAGAAGAGCAGCUGCCAAAAAGAAAUUAAAAAAUUUAGGGAAAAGUAAAAGCACUGACACAGAGGAAGAAGAACAAGACGAGGAAUGCGGGGACGACGGUUUUCUGAAAGGAAAAUCGAGGUCGCCUGGCAAAUGCGCAGAUUUCUGGCGUGCUGAGAAGAGGUUUCGGUUUUGGAUUAGGCAUACGGUGAAAACCCAGUGGUUUUAUUGGUCGGUCAUCGUAUUGGUGCUCUUCAACACGAUAUGUGUCGCCGUCGAGCACUAUAAUCAGCCUGAAUGGCUUACUUCAUUUUUAUAUUAUGCAGAGUAUGUAUUUCUUGGUUUGUUUAUGAUGGAAAUGAUAGUUAAAAUGUACGCACUGGGUCCACGAAUUUACUUCGAAUCUUCUUUCAACCGUUUCGACUGCGUUGUCAUUUCCGGCUCAAUCUUCGAGGUUGUGUGGUCGGAAGUGAAGGGCGGUUCCUUUGGUCUUUCUGUCUUGAGAGCUCUAAGACUGCUGAGGAUAUUCAAGGUCACAAAGUAUUGGUCAUCAUUAAGGAACCUGGUGAUAUCUCUACUGAACUCAAUGAGGUCUAUCAUUUCGUUGCUGUUCCUGCUGUUCUUGUUCAUUCUUAUCUUCGCUCUACUCGGCAUGCAGCUCUUCGGAGGACAGUUCAACUUCGAGGAGGGCACGCCGGCGACCAACUUCAACACCUUUCCUAUUGCGUUGCUCACUGUCUUCCAGAUUCUCACAGGUGAAGAUUGGAACGAGGUUAUGUAUCACGGCAUCCAAUCUCAAGGAGGUAUUCAGAAGGGCAUGCUGUACUCAUUGUACUUUGUCGUUCUGGUCUUAUUCGGCAACUACACAUUGCUGAACGUGUUCCUUGCCAUCGCUGUCGACAACUUGGCUAAUGCCCAGGAACUGACAGCCGCCGAAGAGGAACAAGUCGAGGAAGACAAAGAGAAGCAGCAACAAGAAUUGGAGAAAGAGAUGGGUGCGUUACACGCGUUGGACGGGACUCCACCUGGAGUUGACUUAAGUCCGUCGUCGCCGGCGAGUAGGAAGAAUAAAAAGAAAGAAGAGGCCAAAAAAGAUGAAGAUGAAGAGAUACCAGACGGACCAAAACCAAUGCUGCCAUAUUCGUCCAUGUUUAUUUUAUCACCUACUAAUCCAAUAAGGAGAGGCGCACACUGGGUUGUAAAUUUAAGAUAUUUUGAUUUUUUUAUCAUGGUAGUUAUAUGUAUGAGCUCUGCAGCUUUAGCAGCCGAAGAUCCCGUACGCGAAAAAAGCAAAUGGAACGAAAUAUUAAAUUACUUCGAUUACGCGUUCACGGGCGUUUUCACUGUGGAGAUGCUGCUGAAGAUCAUCGAUCUUGGCAUCCUGUUCCACCCGGGCGCCUACCUCCGCGACCUCUGGAACAUCAUGGACGCCGCCGUCGUGAUCUGCGCCCUCGUCAGCUUUGGCUUCGAGAUCGGGGGCGUUAAAAGUGGCGCGGGUCAGAAUCUGUCGACGAUAAAGUCGUUGAGAGUGUUACGUGUGUUAAGACCGUUGAAAACUAUAAAACGUGUUCCAAAACUAAAAGCAGUGUUCGACUGUGUCGUGAACUCUUUGAAGAACGUCAUUAACAUUCUCAUUGUGUACAUAUUGUUUCAAUUCAUAUUCGCCGUAAUCGCGGUGCAACUUUUUAAUGGUAAAUUUUUUUUCUGCUCGGAUAUCAGUAAGAAUACGAAGACAGACUGCCAAGGGUCGUACUUCGUGUACGAGUCGAACAGCUUACUGCCGCGCAUCCACAGGCGGACGUGGACGACGCAGUCAUUCCACUACGACAACGUCGCCUCCGCCAUGCUGACGUUGUUUGCUGUACAGACGGGCGAAGGAUGGCCGCAAGUACUACAGAACUCGAUGGCCGCAACGUACGAAGAAAGGGGACCCAUACAAAAUUUUCGUAUAGAAAUGUCCAUAUUUUAUAUAGUUUACUUCGUGGUGUUUCCGUUCUUCUUCGUUAACAUAUUCGUAGCUCUGAUUAUUAUAACGUUUCAAGAGCAGGGCGAAGCGGAAUUGCAAGACGGCGAAAUCGACAAAAAUCAGAAAUCAUGUAUAGACUUCACGAUAGAAGCGAGACCUCUCGAAAGGUACAUGCCAAGUAAAAGAGCGAGUUUUAAGUACAAAGUUUGGAGAAUAGUCGUUUCCACGCCCUUCGAGUAUCUCAUCAUGACCCUCAUUGUCCUCAAUACGUUAUUGCUCAUGAUGAAGUACUAUCAUCAAAAUGACGACUACGCGGAUUUCCUCAAGUAUUCGAAUAUGGGGUUUACUGGAAUGUUUUCCGUGGAAACGGUGUUGAAAAUCAUCGCUUACGGUGUGAAAAAUUUUUUCAAAGACCCGUGGAAUACUUUUGACUUCAUCACGGUCAUUGGAAGUAUUAUUGACGCCUUAAUUAUGGAGUUUGGCGAGAACACUUUCAACGUCGGCUUCCUUCGCUUGUUUCGGGCCGCUCGACUGAUCAAGCUGCUCAGACAGGGUUACACCAUCCGGAUACUUCUCUGGACGUUCGUGCAGAGUUUCAAAGCCUUACCCUACGUGUGCCUUCUCAUCGCGAUGCUGUUUUUCAUUUACGCCAUCAUCGGAAUGCAGGUGUUUGGAAAUAUAGAAUUAACGCCCGAGCAAGACAUAAAUAGGCAUAAUAACUUUCAGAGCUUUAUUCAAGCCCUGAUGCUUCUGUUCAGGUGUGCCACAGGUGAAUCGUGGCCUAAUAUAAUGUUAGCGUGCCUCAAACCAGCCAAAUGUGACGGGCGCGCUGGCAAACCGCCACACGAAGCUUGCGGAAGCACCCUCGCUUAUGCAUACUUUGUAUCGUUCAUUUUCUUUUGUUCAUUUCUCAUGUUGAAUUUGUUCGUCGCCGUAAUUAUGGAUAACUUUGAUUAUCUAACGAGAGACUCGUCGAUUCUCGGCGCCCAUCAUCUCGACGAAUUCGUCAGGAUAUGGGCCGAGUACGAUCCAAACGCAACAGGGAAAAUUCAUUACACCGAAAUGUAUGAUAUGUUAAAAAACAUGGAUCCCCCGUUGGGGUUUGGAAACAAAUGCCCGAACAGACUUGCGUAUAAGAAGCUAAUUAGAAUGAAUAUGCCGCUAGAUGAAGAAGGAAAAGUUAACUUCACCACAACACUGUUUGCCUUAAUAAGAGAAAAUUUAAAUAUCAAGAUGAGAUCUGCUGAAGAAAUGGAUCAGGCAGACGAAGAACUCAGAGAAACAAUAACCCACAUAUGGCCAUUACAAUCGAAGAAGAUGCUCGACUUGCUGGUGCCUCGAAAUGAUGUCCUCAACCAAGGAAAACUAACAGUUGGAAAGAUCUAUGCUGGCCUUUUGAUUUUAGAGAGCUGGAGAUCAACUAGAUUUGGCCAGACAGAACCACGGGGUGACCAGGUUUUGGAACUCCCAGGAUCACACCACGCGUCAAUGGAAUCAUUAGAUGAAGGAAGGCUACAAGCCCCGCAGACUUACCAGAACGGACACCACGGUAGAUCGUCCAGCUUAAGUGACAUCGAAGAAGAGAAUGAUCUCAAAGUUGUCGUAGUGACAAAUGACGCACGCCAAGUCCAAGAAGAAGAGGGCAUUACGGAGGUUAUCAUCACGACAUUGGCUUCUCAGACACCGUUAGCAACGUCGUCGAGAUAGUCAAGCAUGAGCACCAGAGACACGGGCGAGCGCAUCGAGCACCUCAUCACUACUACCCACAUGGGAAGGAGUGGAGGGCGCCGCACCCCACGACCAGCCUGAGCCAGCCCUCGCGAUCGCCCAGCCCGCCACAUCACACCUACG
RNAcentral lists this unclassified non-coding RNA (5092 nucleotides) under Bombyx mandarina (wild silkworm). RNAcentral describes it as "voltage-dependent calcium channel type A subunit alpha-1, transcript variant X17". The record is from RNAcentral. Lineage: Eukaryota; Metazoa; Arthropoda; Insecta; Lepidoptera; Bombycidae.